AACGAACGCUGGCGGCAUGCCUAACACAUGCAAGUCGAACGAGACCUUCGGGUCUAGUGGCGCACGGGUGCGUAACGCGUGGGAACCUGCCCUUAGGUUCGGAAUAACUCCCCGAAAGGGGUGCUAAUACCGGAUAAUGUCUUCGGACCAAAGAUUUAUCGCCUUUGGAUGGGCCCGCGUUGGAUUAGCUAGUUGGUAGGGUAAAAGCCUACCAAGGCGACGAUCCAUAGCUGGUCUGAGAGGAUGAUCAGCCACACUGGGACUGAGACACGGCCCAGACUCCUACGGGAGGCAGCAGUGGGGAAUAUUGGACAAUGGGCGAAAGCCUGAUCCAGCAAUGCCGGGUGAGUGAUGAAGGCCGUAGGGUUGUAAAGCUCUUUUACCCGGGAUGAUAAUGACAGUACCGGGAGAAUAAGCACCGGCUAACUACGUG
This 433-nucleotide ribosomal RNA is filed under the name uncultured bacterium. RNAcentral's name for it is "partial 16S ribosomal RNA". It matches the Rfam family "Bacterial small subunit ribosomal RNA", at positions 29 to 507 of the family's 1533-position model. The record is from RNAcentral.